Molecule: ribosomal RNA, 532 nt
Filed under: Streptomyces bacillaris
Lineage: Bacteria; Bacillati; Actinomycetota; Actinomycetes; Kitasatosporales; Streptomycetaceae
Description: bacterial SSU rRNA
Rfam family: Bacterial small subunit ribosomal RNA
Source: RNAcentral
UGGCGAACGGGUGAGUAACACGUGGGCAAUCUGCCCUUCACUCUGGGACAAGCCCUGGAAACGGGGUCUAAUACCGGAUAAUACUCUGUUCCGCAUGGAACGGGGUUGAAAGCUCCGGCGGUGAAGGAUGAGCCCGCGGCCUAUCAGCUUGUUGGUGGGGUAAUGGCCUACCAAGGCGACGACGGGUAGCCGGCCUGAGAGGGCGACCGGCCACACUGGGACUGAGACACGGCCCAGACUCCUACGGGAGGCAGCAGUGGGGAAUAUUGCACAAUGGGCGAAAGCCUGAUGCAGCGACGCCGCGUGAGGGAUGACGGCCUUCGGGUUGUAAACCUCUUUCAGCAGGGAAGAAGCGCAAGUGACGGUACCUGCAGAAGAAGCGCCGGCUAACUACGUGCCAGCAGCCGCGGUAAUACGUAGGGCGCAAGCGUUGUCCGGAAUUAUUGGGCGUAAAGAGCUCGUAGGCGGCUUGUCACGUCGGAUGUGAAAGCCCGGGGCUUAACCCCGGGUCUGCAUUCGAUACGGGCUAGCU